GGGGACAAGCUUAUUUCUAGUCCACUGCUAACUGGACAUGUAGCCUUGGGAACCCCAGCUUUGAUGGGGAUCUCUUACUAGACUCCCCACCAUCUGUGAACCCUUUACAGCAUGAAAACUGAUACUCAGUUUUAUGGGGGUUUGGCAAAUCUCUGUGAGCAAAAGCCAACCUAAGUGCUCUGCUUACUCUUCUGGCUUCUUGCUUUACAUUUAGGUUUUUGGCCUUAGAGAAUGCCUUCCUUUCCAGACAGCUCACCAACACACAUUUGAAAGAUGAUAAAAGACAUUUUAUCCAGGACUUUUGUUGAUUUCAGUGGUAGAAUCGAUCAGGGUGUCUUACCCCCUGUGCUGUCAGAAAUGGCUAUUUUCUUCACUCCUUUAAGUUGAGGCUUUUGUUCUACUUAAAAUGCAAAUGUCCAUGCUUGAGAUAGUAUGUGAAAGCAGUAUUUCUCGCGGUGUCAUCUUGAAACUAAUUCCAUAAAAGUCAUCUGGUAUGCUUUCUAAAAUACUGAUCAUGGGUCACAUUUCUAACUUCUUGAUACAAAAAUUGGGAUGAAAGGAGGAAGAAUUUUUGUUAAGUGUCCCAAGGAAGAAUCACGUAGUUAUCAGUUGCACCUUGGUAAAAAUUAGUUUCAAGAAUACCUGAUAUCUGGAGGGAAAAAUGCUUCCUGAUAUUGAUGUGAAAAAAAAAAAAGGCUCUUCUCUGUAAGGAUUCCAGUAUUCACUGAUUUCAUUUCCCCGAUUGCUGUAGUGGGGGUGAUGCCAACCAUUCUCACCUACACCUACAGGUUAUUUAGUCUUGAAGACAGUGGUUGACUUGUUUUACUGGAUUUUCUUGAGACUGCCCAAGGAAAUGUGGAGUCUCAUUUUUCAGUUAUAUUUAUAGAGAAACCAUGAAGCCUCAGAAAGGUUAAAUAGCUUGUCCUCCUGGAAAUAGGGAAAAUAAAAAAACUUUAUACUUUCUUAUAAAAAUGUGUUUGAACAUAACUCUAAUUAUUCUCUUAGGAGAAAUUCUUUGAAAUGGAUUUACUAGGAUACAAGGCAUACAUAUUUUAAGACUCCCCAUCCCCUCAUAAAAAGAGCUUUAUUAUCCUGAUUAUAAAAAAUUACUGGAAUAAGCUCUAUGUUAGAUAUCUGCAGGCCCUUCAGAAAGAUUUAAGAAGAUAUUAAGAUUACCCCACUGUUGGAGUUCCUGUCAAGGCUCUGUGGUAACGAAACCAACUUGUAUUCAUGAAGAUGCAGGGAUCAAACCCACAUCCUCAUGGAUACUAGUCCAAUUCAUUACCACUGAACUACAAUGGGAACAACCUAUUGUUAGAUUUCUGUUAGAUCCCAACUCCCUAGAACUCCAUGUUUCCUUAUAAAGCCAUCCACUAAUCUAUCCAUCCAUAGAUUGAUAGUUUAAAUAAGUCUUUGUUCCCUGAAACCUAAAAAAAAUAAAUAACACAAUUAUUUUGAUCAUUUAGACAAAGAGUUACUUAAGGGAGUGGAUUUUUAGUUUUAUAGUCUUAUGUGUAUAUGUGUGUGUGUAAUUUUUUGUUUAAAUAUAUUUAUUUCUAAUUUUAUUGCAAUAUGAUUAGGAGGUUUUCUUUGUGGCUGAGAACAGUAAACAUUUCUGCAUAUGCUAAAGGAACAUGCAUUCUCAAUUUGAAGGUAUAGCACUUUAGCUUAAUGACACAUAUUGUUUACUCUGUAUCUUUAUUUUUUGGUUUAUUAAUCUGUCAGGAACUAAAAAGCAAUCUGUCAAAGUCUUCAUUACUGUACUGUUUCUGACCCCCUUUUCUUCUUAUACUCCAAUUUUCACUUUAUAUAGUUUGAUAUAGUAUUUUAUUUCCUUAAGUGCUUUUUCUAUUUAAUGUCAGUUUGAUGUUACUAUGACCACCUUGCUUUCUUUUGUGUGUAUUUUUUGGUAUGUCUUUGGUCAUCCUUCUAUUUUUAACUUUUCUGUAUCACAUUUUUUUCUUUAAGUUUCUCUUGUUGCAGUGAUAGGGAUUUUAUUGCUAUUUUUAUUGGGACCUAUGAAAAAGUCUAUGGAAUUAAUAGAAUGAGUUUAGACACUAUUUUGGUUUUCUUUGGGCCCAGGGCUUCCCUGGUGUUAAAUGUCAGUCUAUGACUGAGUUCUAGCUAACAGAAAGUGGUGAAGAUCAAGUACAUGAUCCCUUUGCUCUUUCUGGUCUACGUGGUAAUGCUCAGAGCCACCUUUAAACCACAAGUGAAAUAGUGGAGCCUCUGUUAACCUAGGACCUCAAGUAACUGCAAGGGGCAGGGCCCCUCUACUGCCAAGUGGACUCUAUGUAAAAGAGACCCAAACUUCUAUUAUGUAAAUCCACUCAGCUGCUAAUAUCAUGGCAGCUAGUGUGAACUAAUGCUAGAAAUGGUAAAGAAAGUGGGUGCUACCAUAAGAACAAAACUAAAACAUAGAAUACUGUCUUAAUCAUUGGGGAGUGGGCAGCAAGCAAACUGAUAUUGAAAGCUGGAGCCUGUUAUGGCCCAGUGGGUUAAGAACACAGCUAGUAUCCAUGAGGAUGCAGGUUCGAUCCCUGGCCUUGCUCAGUGGGUUAAGGAUCUGGCAUUGCCCUGAGCUGUGGUGUAGGUUGCAGAUGCAGUUUGGAUCUGGCAUUGCUGUGGCUGUGGUGUAGGCUGGCAGCUGCA
This 2652-nucleotide long non-coding RNA is filed under the name Sus scrofa (pig). Its description in RNAcentral is "lncRNA (ENSSSCG00035045471.1, ENSSSCG00180018373.1)". Lineage: Eukaryota; Metazoa; Chordata; Mammalia; Artiodactyla; Suidae. The record is from RNAcentral.